GCUGUGGCGCAGUGGUAGAGCACUUACCUAGCAUGUGUGAGGCACUGGGUUUGAUUCUCAGCACUGCA
RNAcentral lists this transfer RNA (68 nucleotides) under Marmota monax (woodchuck). RNAcentral's name for it is "tRNA.Ala". Lineage: Eukaryota; Metazoa; Chordata; Mammalia; Rodentia; Sciuridae. The record is from RNAcentral.